UCGGGAAUUUUGGGCAAUGGGCGCAAGCCUGACCCAGCAACGCCGCGUGAAGGAUGAAGCUUUUCGGAGUGUAAACUUCAUAAGAAUGGGACGAAUAAACGUGGGCUAACAUCCCAUGUGAUGACGGUACCAUUUGUAAGCUCCGGCUAACUCCGUGCCAGCAGCCGCGGUAAUACGGGGGGAGCAAGCGUUGUUCGGAUUUACUGGGCGUAAAGGGCGCGUAGGCGGGCGCAACAAGUCGCUUGUGAAAUCUCCUGGCUCAACUAGGAGCGGUCAAGCGAUACUGUCGUGCUAGAGUGCGGAAGGGGCUACUGGAAUUCUCGGUGUAGCGGUGAAAUGCGUAGAUAUCGAGAGGAACACCUGCGGCGAAGGCGGGUAGCUGGGCCGACACUGACGCUGAUGCGCGAAAGCCAGGGGAGCGAACGGGAUUAGAUACCCCGGUAGUCCUGGCCUUAACGAUGGAUGCUUGGUGUCCGGGGUUACAUAGUCCCUGGGUGCCGGCGCUAACGCAUUAA
This 515-nucleotide ribosomal RNA is filed under the name uncultured bacterium. RNAcentral describes it as "bacterial SSU rRNA". It matches the Rfam family "Bacterial small subunit ribosomal RNA", at positions 355 to 863 of the family's 1533-position model. The record is from RNAcentral.